GACGAACGCUGGCUGCGUGCUUAACACAUGCAAGUCGAACGGAAAGGCCUGCUUUCCCUUGUGGCUUGCGGGUCCUCGAGUGGCGAACGGGUGAGUAACACGUGAGUCAUCUGCCCCCCACUUGGUUAUAAGCCUGGGAAACUGGGUCUAAUUCCCGUUAGGACUUCAGGGUGUUGCCUGUGGUGGAAAACGAUUUUCUAGUGGUUGGGGAUGAGCUCGCGGCCUAUCAGCUUGUUGGUGGGGUAAUGGCCUACCAAGGCGGCGACGGGUAGCCGGCCGGAGAGGGUGGACGGCCACAUUGGGACGGGGAUACGGCCCAGACUCCUACGGGAGGAAGCAGGGGGGAAUAUUGCACAAGGGGCGGAAGCCUGAUGCAGCGACGCCGCGGGGGGGAUGACGGCCUUCGGGUUGUAAACUCCUUUCGAGCGCGAGGAAGCCACCUGGUUGGAAGGGUGGUGACGGUAGUGGUAGAAGAAGCACCGGCUAACUACGUG
RNAcentral lists this ribosomal RNA (494 nucleotides) under uncultured bacterium. RNAcentral describes it as "partial 16S ribosomal RNA". It matches the Rfam family "Bacterial small subunit ribosomal RNA", at positions 28 to 507 of the family's 1533-position model. The record is from RNAcentral.